Molecule: non-coding RNA, 11806 nt
Organism: Oryctolagus cuniculus (rabbit)
Lineage: Eukaryota; Metazoa; Chordata; Mammalia; Lagomorpha; Leporidae
Source: RefSeq, a predicted model, not a curated record
UCCUAUGGAUGCCAGUAUCACAAGUGAUGGCUUAACCCUCUGCACCAAAUGCUGGCCCCUUUGUCGAGAUUCUGCAUGAUUUUUUUCACAUGAUGUUCCUGUAAUUGAAAACAUACAUACACAAUACAGUCUCCUAAAGCAUUCUUCUGUUAACUGAAAAAUCAGUCUGCUCGAAAAUCAAAGUUGAAAUUCAUUUAUCUAUCAAAUUGAGGAUUUACACCUAGAAACAACCAAGCAGUUACUUAGGUUGGCUGUUCACAUGCCCAAGUUUGGUUAUAGAUUUUACACUUUUCUUACAGGAUGAAUAUAUGAUUGAAUCAGGUAUAAAAUUUUAGAUUUAUGUGUGGUUAUUAAUCAUAUUGAAAAUCAGAGUACCUCACUGAAAAUCAAAACACCUGGUAAUGGCUAACAGACUUGAUUAUUGAUUAAUGAAGUACAUUAUAAUUCCCACACUCAUGGGAUGUUUCAUAUAUGCAGGGAGAGGCAAACAACAGGGUCAUUAGUCACUCUUUCUACAAUGGCCCUGAGAUGGAAAGAUCACUCCUUUUGUGCAUGGCAUGGCGUUGAAGGUAAAGCCACUGUCUGUGAUGCUGGCAUCCCAUAUGGGCAUUGGUUUGUGUCUUGGCUAUUCCAUUUCUGAUCCAGAUACCUGUUAAUGUGCCUGUGAAAGCAGUGGAAGAUGACCCAAGUACUUGGCACCUGCAACCCACGUGGAAGGCCCAGAAGAAGCCGUGGUGUUGUGGCCAUCUGAAGAGUGACCCAGUGGUUGAAAGAUAUCUCUCUGUAUCUCUGACUUUCAAAUAAAUAAACAAAUAUUUAUUUUCCUUAAAAGAAAACUCACAUCUUAAAAGAUUUAUUUAUUUGAAAGGCAGAGUUACAAAGGGAGGGAGAGAUAGAGAGAGAGGGGUCUUUCACCUGUAGUUCACCCCCAAAUGGCCACAAUGGCCAGGGCCGGGCCAUGCCAACCAGGAGCUUCAUCUGGGUCUCCUACAUGGGUGCAGGAGUUCAUUUACUUGGGCCAUCUGCAGCUGCUUUCCCAGGCACAUUAGCAGGGAACUGGAUCAGAAGUGGAGCUGCCAGGACUCGAACCACUGCCUUUAUGGGAUGCCAACAUUGCAGGCAGCGGCUUUACCCACUAUGCCACAGUGCCAGCCUGAACACAUGCUUAAGUAAUGUGUAGUAAAUGUUUUUGUUUCUUUAGUGAAAAUUGUGGUUCACUAAAAUAUCAUGUUACCUGGGAACCAGUUGCAGGAUGACUUCACAACAUGGAUGGCAUCUUAGCUGAUGUAGGCGUCUGUGGUCAUCUUUUGAAUUCCCACUUCUAAGUGUAAAACUUGGUAAGAUUUAAAAUCUAUGGCUCUCCUUUCCUUCCCGCCUUCCACAAAGAACUUUGUGAUGGCCAGUGAUGCUACUCUGAGUGUCAUGCCUUGACUUUUGGGAUAUACUAAGAGUACUAGGAAUGAAUCAUAUUGCUAUGAAAAACUUCCAUUUCUACUGGUCUAAGAUAUCUCAGGAUGGUUUUCUCCUCCGUUUGUCUAAUGAGUGAUUUGCAUUUUUCCAAUUUUAGGUUACCACACUUGUAAACUGUCCUCAGAAUCCUUCCAACAGGAAAAAAGGACGUUCAAAAAGAGCUAGAGUCCUUCUAGCUUCUGUGGAGGAAGCAACUUGGAAUUUAUUAGACAAGGGAGAGAAGAUUGCCCAGGAGGCUACCAAUUUAAAGGAAGAGCUUAAUGCUGCACUGGAGGAGGUUCGAAAUGAAAGUAAAGCUUUGAAGGUAUCAGCUGAGCAAUUCACAGAUGACCCCUGUCAUCUCCCAAAAAGGGAGGCUGUUGUUCAAGCUGCACGUGCCUUGUUGGCUGCAGUAACUCGACUCCUUAUCCUUGCGGACAUGAUUGAUGUCAUGUGUCUUCUGCAACAUGUGUCCACCGUUCAAAGGACCUUUCAGUCUCUUAAAACGUUUCCAACAAAUCUGACCUCCAGAAAACAUACCAGAAGCUUGGGAAAGAGCUAGAAAAUCUGGAUUAUUUAGCCUUCAAACGUCAGCAGGUAGGAAUCAGAGCUCUCCUUGGCAAAGGAAAGGAGCAUGUUAGACUUCCUGCUGUUUUGCCUGCCAGAGAGAGGUACAGGUGGGUCUAGGGAGACUUAACCUUCUAAGGGUUAGGGCACAAAUAGGUUGUACUGCGUUGAUCCACUGUGUUCUUAUGGCUUCCUGCAGUGUUCAGUGUGGUCCUUGCUUUUAGAUGUGAAUGUUACGGGUUUCCACAUGUGUGCCCAUACCUCGCUUAAAGAAAACUCCUGCUGGUUUGUGAAGGUCCAACUUCCCUUUGACUAACAAUGUCUCUGGCUAAAAGGUCACCUCUAUGAUGGCUUGGUCACAUAGUGUUUAUAUUUGGCAGGGGGAUAGCUGAAGAGAAAAAUAACUUGAAGGAGAAAAAGCUGUGGAUGCAUAUAUAAAAUGAAGGGAAAGAGUAAAAAAUAUGCCAAAAUAUGAAUUGGUCUUUAUUUUUUGUUCUAUCUUUGAAUAAGUAAACAUUUGCUUCAUGUGGAAGGUUGAAGGAAAAUAUACUUUACAAAUGCAAGUCUUUUUGCUUCCUUGUGCAGGCUUCAAGAUAAAUCCAUAGCUAAAAUAAGCUUUUACAAGAUUCUCUAAGAAUUGAUACUUUAUAAACCCAAUAUUCACAGUAAUUAAAUUCUGGGUCUUUUUGAGUUAGUCCCACAGUAGCUGGCUGCUGUUCGAGGGCUGGUCUGUUCCAGUUUCUUCAGAGCCACUAGGUGUCAGAAUUGUAAAGCUUUUUCUUUAAUAGAAUGUUUAUUCCUAUCAGAACAGCCAGUUACACGUUUAAUUUAGGUUGCAUGAAAUUUGGGGAUGUGCUCAGUGAUGGAUAUCAUCUAGAAAAAUGACUAAAUGACUAUCUUGCAUGGCCAGGCACCAAGUCCAUCACUUAAGAGUCUUCCUGUGGUGUGGCAAAGGGUGUAAUAUUCUGGUCAUUGCCCAAUUUUCAAAUUUUAGGUCUUUUAGAUGAGGAUUUUCAAAGCAAGACUUCUUAUAUUUAAACCUCAUUAAGUUUUUAUGAUGUAAUCUAGAAAUAUUGGCCUGAAAAGAGAGUUACAUUCUGGAUCUUAGUCUAUCACAUUUAUUAUUUGACCUUUCUAUGGUCUUUUCUUUCUUUCUUUCUCCCUGGAACUUUGUUUUGUAUAAUAUUACAAGCAAAUUAUACUUUAAUAUAUAUGAAAAGGCCACAAUAUCCAUGUAAAUUUUAUUUAAAAAAUUAGUACUGACCUAGAUAUUAGCACAUAUAACACAGUCAUAGUUACUGAAAACUGCUACAGCGAGCUCUCAGAUGUAGCUGCUUAAAAUGCACAUUGUGGGUCACUGCUCUGGCCUGUGCAGUUUUUAGCACAGUUUUGUUUCCAAGACCGUAUUUUAUUACUGAAGGGUAUUUUAUUUGGCAGACAGUAGUCAUUGUCCUCUUUUAUCCUUUCUCAUUAGAACAUUCCAGUGAUUCUUACAUUAGACAGUUGUGAAUCUGGGUGAAGGUGAAUGCUUCGAGGGUAAAAGGAUAGAGCUCUGUGAGAAUGGCACUGAGGACAGAUAGGUAAAUUGUCCAUGUUCGAGGAAAAAAUGGGCACAUGGGGUGUAUAUGUUAUAUGUAUAUGUUAUUAAGUAACAAUUAUAUGCCAUCUAAUAUUAUAGAAACAUUUAUGAAUCAAGUCAUUAAAUUCUUAUAAUAAUAUGGUGGGAUUGAUUUUAUUAUUGCCAUUUUACACCUGAGAAAAAACUCUUAAGAGAAUUAAGUAACUUUCUUAUAGUCAUAGUGAUAAAACAUGAAGCUGGGCUUCAAAUCUUAUCAGAUUGACUCCAAACUUGGAUGUUGCAUUUCCUGUAUGGGGCAUGAUUAAAGGGUCAGAAUAUCAGAUCUUUUCUGAUUUGGUAGAAUUUGUCUUUUAUCUCCCAUCCUAUUCCUUUAUAGUUCCAAAAACCUAAUAAGCAAAUACUGGAAGGUGCUUUUUUUCUCCAACUGGAAAAUAGUUAGGUCUUUGUAAAAACUGCCAAUUUUACAAGAAAGGUGUCCCAUAUUAAGGCAGGAUUCUUUGUACUAGAGAAUUAGUCAUGGUUUGUUCUUUCAUCCAUUAUUCCUCAGUGUGACAGAAUGUAAACUGCAUAAGGAAAUUGCCUUUUUUGUCACCUUCAAUGUUGUGUCCUUUCCAGUGUUCAUGACAGUAUCUGGCCCAUCACAAAUACCCAAUAAAUAUUAUUGGUGGUGUUGUUGCUAUGAGAAAGAAGUAUGCCAAAAGAUUUGGUUUCAGAUUGUGGGUAAUUAAAAUGGAUAUGUUUUGCUAUCCUUUUAAAAUUUGGAAGGGCAUUGUUUCCUGGUUUCCUGGAUGCUGGAGGCUGAUAGAUUGACCUUUGCCCUAUAUAUUAUUUAUGUUUUCUCCUGAUAUAUUUUCUUCUUUUAUCCACUUCUUAAAGAAACGGAAAAUAUCAGUGUUACUGUAGGCCUGAUUUUUAGGUGUCCCAUGAAUCAACUUUAAUUAUUUUCUUGGACUCACUCAUAUUUUACUUGCUGUCUUUUUCUGUGACAUUUUUAGCAUCAUUUUUUGAGAGAUUGUUAAUGGGGCCUCUUUCCUAGGCAAGAAUUUAGUUUUUUUUUUUAAAAGAGUUAUUACUGUAGCAGACAUCAUAGUAUUGGUAGUGAGUGAAGCUACUCCUUAGGAUGCUUGCAUCCUGUAAUGGAGAGCCUGUUUUGAUUCUUGGCUCCUCUGCUUCCCAUCCAACUUUCUACUAAUGUGCCUGGGAGACAGCAGAAAAUGUCCUAAGUAUUUGGGUCCAUGCCACCCACAUGGGAAACUUGGAGAGAGUCCCAGGCUCUUGGCUUUGCCUAUCCCAACUCCAGCUAUGUUGAAAAUUUGAGAAGUGAACCAACAAAUUAAAGAUCUUCCUCCUUUUUUUUUCUCUCUCUCUAUUUGUGUGUGUGUCUCUCUCCCUUUUUGUCACUCUGCCUUUCAAUUGAAUGAAUAGAUAAUAUAAAAAAUUGUGAGUACUCCUGUUCUUUGUGUCAGGCACAUCCAGCUCUGCAUUUUUCUACUUUCAAAAAGACUAGUGUUGAAAAUAACUUUGGUUGGAAAAGGUGAGAGAGGAAGCCAUGAUAGGUGAGGUGGUGCUUACUGGAAUGAGUCAUCCUGAAGUAAAUAGACGAGAAAGCAGGAUUAACCUGAGAAUCUGGAGACUUUUCAGUUCUUCCUACCUGGAGAUGCAGUCUUAGAGUUUAAGUACUUGGAAUGCUUGGUGUUAAAUCCUCCUGACUGGUGCUAUGGAGGAAGGUAAUAGCAAACCAAAACUAUUACACAGUUAUUGGAUUUAUAUAUUAAUUUGAGAGGUUAUAAAUCAAGAGACCUCCUUGGGGCUUAGAUUUUGUGUAGUAAAAUAAAAUAAAAUUUGAUAAACUUGAUUUUAAUUCUUUCCUUUCUUCUACCCUUAAUAGUUAUGAUAACAUUAUUAAACAUAUCUUCUUUUUUUAAAGGUGACUUUAAAAAAAGAGAUUUAUUUAUGUAUUUGAAAGGCAGAGCUACAAACAGACAGGCAGUGGCAGAGGCAGAGAGGUCUUCCAUCUGCUGAUUCACUCUCCAAAUGUCUGCAAUGGCCGGAGCUGGGCCUAUCCCAAGUCAGGAGUCAGAAGUUUCCUGUGGGUCUCCCAUGUGUGUGCAGGGGCCCAAGGACUUGGGCCGUCUUCUACUGCUUUUCCAGGCCAUAGCAGAGAGCUGGAUCAGAAGUGAAGCAGCCAGAUCUCGAUCUGGCAUCCAUAUAGGAUUCCAGCACUGUAGACAGUGGCUUUAUCUGCUACACCACAGCAUUGGCCCCUAUAAAACAUAUUUUCUUUCCAGAGGUUUCUGAAGUCCUUUAAUAUAAAUUAAAGUUGACAUUAUUGGGUUGGGCAUUCUAAACACCAGGGCACAUAUAUAUGUUGGUGCCAUAAUAUGUAAAAUUAAACUGUUGUACUUCAGAUACAUAUCUGUGUUGGAAUACAUCGCGUACCUAUGAUUCUUGUCUUGUAUUCAUUGCAUAUUGUUGUUGCCCUUUUGUUUUCAUAGAAGAUUUAUACACUCUGGUAUUUAGAGUUUACACAGCUCCUUUCUAUUUACUUAUUUAUCUACUAAUCAUUCUUUAAAUUCAAACUGAAGCCUAGCCUCCUUCAUAAACUGCAUUCUAAGAGCACUAGUCAAUGUGUAAACUCUUCAUUCUUUGCUAUUCUUAGCUAUUAUCUGUGUAAUGUUAUUUAGCAUCUGAUUAAUUGUGUAAUCAUUGAGAAGCAAUCUGGUGUAGUGGUUAGACUGUAGGCUUUGUAGUUAUCCAAACUAGGUUAGACUUAUUUGUACUGCCUUGGAUAUCCAAGUUUCCUCUUUUAUAUAAAAUAUAAAGUCUCUUAAAGUAUAUGCAGCUCUUAGUACAACACCUGGUGUGUGUAUAGGAUAAAUGGUAGUGUAUAAUAUUGUUUUAGGUUAUCCUCAUAAGCAUUUUCCUAAAUGUAAAUGGAAAAUGACUAAACAAAAAUUUGUAAGUCCCUAUAAGAUAUAUUCUCUAUUUUAUAUGCCUUUACACAGCACAUAGGAUCUAGCACUGUUCAGAACAUAAAAAUAGAAUGUUUUUGGACAUAUGCAGUCUUAUUUUUGAACAUAUGCAGGUUGCUGGUUUGUGUCACAGAAAGGACAUAUUGAUAUCUCACAAGAUGGGAGAUUCAUCAUUUGGUUCUAACGUGUUUCUAAGGAAAAUAGCUAAAGUUAUUUUUACUUGAUGGAAAAUGAAAUGAAUCUUGGAUCCAAUGUUCUAGCAAACCCCAACUCAUAUAAUUAUUAUACUUUAUAUACCUACACUUCCCUAUGCUUUUGUACAAUACAGUUUUUCAGGAAUAAGCCACUGAUUUUUUCUUUCACUAAGCUAGGUAUGUUAACCCUUUUAGAUAACUUGAAAACUGGAAGGGUACUUAAUUCCUUGUAGGAUAAGAAUUGAAUUGAAAAUGAACUUUUUUUAAUGAAGAAAUAUAUAAAUAAAUUAGAUGAAAUUUAUUUAGUGAGCAUGACUGUAGGUUAACAACUUUUAGUUGAAAAAUAAAAUUUUACUUAUUAUCUCCUGUCUUUUCAAUAAUGGACAUCUUCACAGGUGUGAUAGACAGGAGAUUACAAGAGUUGGCUCUGAGGUGGAGAAAAAGGAAACACUUUGCAUACUAUUGGAGGGAAUGUCAAUUGGUAAACUAUGUAGUUUUCUAUAUCAGUAUCUUGAAGAGAUAUCUGCACUCUUACAUUCAUUGCAGUUCUAUUCACAAAAAAACAAUAUGGGAUCAACCUCUGUGUCUACAACCAUCGACAGAUGAGUAAAGAAAAUGGCACCUCUCUCUCAGAUCCCUCUCUUUCCCUCCCUUUCUAUGUGAAUAUUGUUCAAUCUUAAAAAAGAAGGAAAUCUUGCCUUGGAGAUUACAGGGAUGAGCCCGGAGGCCAGGUCCAGAAAGACAAAUACGAUUUAUGUGUGGAAUCUAAAUGGUCAGUUACAAGAUGAACCAGUUCUGAGGAUCUAACGUACAGCAUGAGUGGCAUGGAUAUAUUCAUUGAUUUGAUUAUAGUAAUCAGUAUACAAUGUAUAUAUUAUAUUUGGUAUAUAUCAAAUUAUCAUUCUGUAUACUUUGGAUAUAUUUCAUUUUAUUUGUCAAUUACAUAUUUUUAAGUAAAAAAGGAAAUAAAGUCCAUAUGGAUAAUGAUUGACCAUACAGAAAGUCUUGGGCUUACCCUGGAAACCAAGAGCCCUGGGGACACAAGACUACAGUGCUUAGUCAAAUAAAACUGAAUAGUACUAGACUUGCUGUUGUUGUACCAUAGUAUAAGAGAAGAGGAAGUUGAUUAAUCCCAGUAAUAAUUUCCAACUAUGUAAAGUCUUAAAACCAGCAAAAUAUGAUGAAUCAGCAUAAGGGGAUAUGCAAUGAUAUUGCACUAGAUUUUGUUUAUUUAAAGACAGCAAAAGCACACUUUGCACUGGGAUUAACACUAAAAUGUAGAUUAUAAAUAUAUUUUACUCAAGAGCUUUACAAAUAAAGAACAUAUACAUCUGGAAGUAUUUAGAUGCAGUUUAAGAAAGUGUAAUGGUGAAGCUGGACUGAAUGAGCACUAAUGGGAGGUGCUAAGCUUCUAGAACAAUGGUUCUAUAGGCAAUAGACUUACUUUGUUGCAUAUCCCCUUAUGCUGAUUCAUAAUAUUUUGCUUGUUUUUAAGUCUUUUUUUUCUUUUUUUAUUGACAGGCAGAGUUAGACAGUGAGAGAGAGAGAGACAGAGAGAAAGGUCUUCCUCUUUCUGUUGGUUUACCCCUCAAGUGGCCGCUACGGCUGGUGCGUUGUGGCUGGCGUGCUGCGCCGAUCUGAAGCCAGGAGCCAGGUGCUUCCUCCUGGUCUCCCAUGCAGGUGCAGGGCCCAAGCACUUGGGCCAUCCUCCACUGCCUUCCCAGGCCGUAGCAGAGAGCUGGACUGGAAGAGGAGCAACCGGGACAGAAUCUGGCGCCCCAACCAGGACUAGAACCCCGGGGUGCCGGCACUGCAGGUGGAGGAUUAGCCUAGUGAGCCGUGGUGCUGGCCAUGUUUUUAAGUCUUUACAAGGUUGAAAAGUAUUACUGGAACUCAUCAACUGCUUGUUCUCUUAUUCUGUAAUAAAACAAGCCUGGCUUUAUUCACUUUUGUUUCACUAAGAAAUUAAUCCAACCCUCUUGAAAUUUUCUGACUGAAUUAUUCCUUUUAAGAGUAAGUGAACCAAAGUCUGCUAAAAUAUUCAUCUGUUCUUGAUGGUAUUCUGUUUCUUAUUUGCCCAAUCAAGUAAAAUUAUUGUUUAUGCCAUUUAUAAACUUUUUUCAGAAGAUCUCAAAGCAUUUCAGUAUCAUUUAAAGAUUUAUUGUACAUAGAAAACGCUGAAUUAUGAAACAGUGUGCUACACUAAAGUUCAAACCAACCCAAACAUGUUUUAUUCUAUCUACUACAUAUGCAAUUCCAUUUCAAUUCAGUUGUACACAGUUGUUUGUUCCAGAGGGAAAAAAGAUGGCAUUACAUUUAUUCUUCAGUUUUAUGACAUGGAGAGAGAGAAUGUUGGAUACAUAAUUCAAGGUUAUUCUGAAUCAAUAUAAGCUUAAGAAUUAGUAUUCACAUUCCCUAAUUUCUAGCUCAUUGCAGUAGCCGUCUGACAAUUUUCAUUACUUCAUAAAGUGUAGAUAUUUAUAGGGUGAUUUCUUUUCCUAUAAAAUCUGAGAAAAAAUCUGUAAGAUAUUUGUGUGAAAGUCCUGCCUUUUAUUAAACGUGAAAGAAAGAGUAGUGCACUUUACACAUUUUUUUCUUUCUAAAAUUUGAUUUCCACAUUGAUAGUUCAUGAUCAUGACAAAUAGGUAUCUUCUAUUAAAUUCAUGAAGUAAAAACAUAGUCAUAAUCUUAGUCAUAAGGUUUGCUAUCUGUUGUCUCUGGUAUUGAGUUUUUUUGGUAGAAUUUAAGUAGAAAGAUGGUGAAUCCAGCACAUAAUAACUUAUUUACAUGACUAGAAAAGUUUUAUUAAUUUUUAUAAGGCUGUUUGCUAGACAAUAGUUUGCCUUAUGGGCAAUUUAUAGCCACUUUAUAGUGGAAAAUGUUUAUUGAGUAGUUAAUGCUUUGUUAUAGGUUGUUUCAAAAUUUACAAUGCUGAAUUGAGAGGUGAUGAAAAACUUCAGCAUUUGCAUCAAUGUGGUGCUUAUUUGUGUAUGUCUUAUAUUGACAUAGUGAAGUCCAUAAAGUUGUCAAUAAAAAUUGAGAUUGAGAAUAAAUUACGUAAGAGUUAACUCUGAAAAUGAUUAUUUCUUUAGUCUUUUUUGUAACUUGGAAAUGAUCUAUACAUGAAAAUAGAACCCAUUUUCACUGCCAAGAUUAUUGAUCUCUGCUGGUUUAACAUGCAAACUAAAGAGAAUAUAUAAGACCAGAGAACUAAAUUAAUGAGUCUUCAGAAUUAGUCUAAUCCAAAUUGGUUUAUUUCUAUUUUUAAAAAUAUUUGAGAGGCAUAGACAAACAGAGACAGAUAGAGCUACUUAUCUGCUGUUUUCACUCCUCAAAUGGCUUUAAUGUUCAAGGCUAACCCAGGGUAGAAGCUGGGAGCUGGGAACAUAGUUGUAUGGCAAUAUCCCAAUUAUGUGAGCCAAUACAAUUUCUCCUUAGGUUUGCUUCAGCAGGAAUCUGGAGCCAGGAGCCAGAACUUGAUAUUAAACCCAGGCAUGCCAAAAUGUAGUACAGGUGUCUUAUCCAAAGUCUUAACCAGUAAGCUAAACACUCAUCCCAUAACUGAAUUAUUAUUUUUAAAGAUGAGAAAAAUGAGGCUUACCAAGAUUAAAUAUCUUGUGCAAGGCCAUAAAUUUUGCUAAUGGAAGAGCUGGGACAAGAACAAAUAUGAUAUUUUCUUGUAGUCUUUGGUUCAUUGGUGAGUCCUUUAGCAUAAGUCAACUUAUUGAUUGUUUGCCAUGUCUGGUUUGUGUUCUGAUUGAGAAAAAGCCUGCAAUAUGAAAAAUAUUGCUUUCCGGUUUGAACAGCUGCAUGAUUCUGAGACUGGACUGGCAACAAAAGUCCCUUAAAUUGUAAAAAGAAAGCCAGAACAUUCAGUUUAUUUGAUAGUGGUCAUGGUUUGGGUUGGCUUGCUCAGGUAUGGUCGGAAGGAAAGGCUCUUAGAGCAACCUUUAUGGAAAAAUCAUACUUCUUAUGGCUUUUGUAUCUUAAGAAACAUUUCCGUCAUCAAACCUCUGCUAGACUCAAGCAGUGACACUUUCUCAGGGAACAGCUAGAACAGAGGUGUCCUUCUUAGAUUCCCCCAAUAAAGAAUGUGGGUGGUAUCUUCUCUAAAAUGUGAGCCAUCAGCCGUAUCAAGACUCUAAGGUGAAUGUCUAAUGAUUUCCCAAAGAAAUUUGUACAAAUUGCCUUUGUUUUAUGAGAGGAGUGAGCAGAAAGGUUGUCUUUGCAGAAUCUGAAGCUUUUUUUUUUUUUUUUCCAAAACUUUGAUUAACUUUGUAAAAACAUUCUUAUAACAAGCAUAUAGUACUGGUCUUUGGCCCUCCAGAAAAUUAAUAGGCAAAAUGCACUGACUAUUCACAAAAACUUUUGCUAUGACUUUAUGAUACUUUCUUCUUGUGUGGUGUGCUUUUUUUGACCUCUUGGUAGACAUUGUGUUGGUUAUGUUUUGUGUUCAGAAACAUGCUGAUAAAUGCAUAUUUUAUCUCCUGCUAUAAUUCUUGGCAGAAAUGUUUUCAAAUCUUUUAAAUGAAUUAUUUAUUUAUUUAUUUGAAAGCUAGAGUGACAGAGAGGGAGAGUUAGAGAAAGAGAUCUUCAUCUGCCUGUUCACUCCCAAAAUGGCUGCAAUGGGCAGGGCUGGACCAAUCUGAAAUUAGAAGCUAGAACUAUAUCUGGAUCUUCCAUGUGGCUCAAGUACUUGGGACAUCAUUGAUUGCUUUGCUGGGUACAUUAACAGAGGCUGGGUCAGAAGUGAAACAGCUAGGAUCAAACCAGUGUUCUGGUGCUGGCAUUGCAGGUAGUGGCUUAACCCACUGCAUUACAACGUCAGACCAAUGAUUUAUUUUAUAACCAGUUUGUUACCGGUAUAUAAAAGCUCUGUUUUAAAAUUUAUUUACUUUCAUGCUAUUUGAAAGGUAGAGAAAGAGAGAGAUUGAUUGAUGAAUCUUCCAUCUGCUGUUUCAUUGCUUAAAUGCCCAGAACAGCUAGGGUUCAGGUAGGCUGAAGCCAGGAGCCUGGAACUCCAUACUGGUUUUCUUUUUUUUUUU